This is a small nucleolar RNA of Vulpes vulpes (red fox), 72 nucleotides long. Ensembl annotates it as small nucleolar RNA, C/D box 114-6. The record is from Ensembl. NCBI's taxonomy places the organism in Eukaryota, Metazoa, Chordata, Mammalia, Carnivora, Canidae.
UGGAUCGAUGAUGACCACUGGUGGCGUGUGAGUCAUAUACGAUGAAUAUAUGUCUGGAAGUCCGAGGUCCAA